This 433-nucleotide ribosomal RNA is filed under the name uncultured bacterium. Its description in RNAcentral is "partial 16S ribosomal RNA". It matches the Rfam family "Bacterial small subunit ribosomal RNA", at positions 29 to 507 of the family's 1533-position model. The record is from RNAcentral.
AACGAACGCUGGCGGCAUGCCUAACACAUGCAAGUCGAACGAGACCUUCGGGUCUAGUGGCGCACGGGUGCGUAACGCGGGGGAACCUGCCCUUAGGUUCGGAAUAACUCCCCGAAAGGGGUGCUAAUACCGGAUAAUGUCUGCGGACCAAAGAUUUAUCGCCUUUGGAUGGGCCCGCGUUGGAUUAGCUAGUUGGUAGGGUAAAAGCCUACCAAGGCGACGAUCCAUAGCUGGUCUGAGAGGAUGAUCAGCCACACUGGGACUGAGACACGGCCCAGACUCCUACGGGAGGCAGCAGUGGGGAAUAUUGGACAAUGGGCGAAAGCCUGAUCCAGCAAUGCCGCGUGAGUGAUGAAGGCCUUAGGGUUGUAAAGCUCUUUUACCCGGGAUGAUAAUGACAGUACCGGGAGAAUAAGCUCCGGCUAACUCCGUG